This 439-nucleotide ribosomal RNA is filed under the name uncultured Acinetobacter sp. RNAcentral describes it as "bacterial SSU rRNA". It matches the Rfam family "Bacterial small subunit ribosomal RNA", at positions 999 to 1437 of the family's 1533-position model. Lineage: Bacteria; Pseudomonadati; Pseudomonadota; Gammaproteobacteria; Moraxellales; Moraxellaceae. The record is from RNAcentral.
UCAUGAAGAUGGGGAUGUGCCUUCGGGAACCUCGAUACAGGUGCUGCAUGGCUGUCGUCAGCUCGUGUGGUGAGAUGUUGGGUUAAGUCCCGCAACGAGCGCAACCCUCGUCUUUAUUUGCCAGCCUUUCGAAUGGGAACUUUAAGGAUACUGCCAGUGACAAAAUGGAGGAAGGGGGGGACGACGUCAAGUCAUCCUGGCCCUUACGUCCAGGGCUACACACGUGCUACAAUGGGCGGUACAAAGGGUUGCUACACAGCGAUGUGAUGCUAAUCUCAAAAAGCCGAUCGUAGUCCGGAUUGGAGUCUGCAACUCGACUCCAUGAAGUCGGAAUCGCUAGUAAUCGCGGAUCAAACUGCGGCGGUGAAUACGUUCCCGGGCCUUGUACACACCGCCCGUCACACCAUGGGAGUUGGUUGUACCCAAAGUAGCUAGAAAA